UCCUCCUGGGUUGUGGAGCCCCUCCCUUUCCCCCUCACAGAAAAGUUUUACAUGGCUGAGGGUGAGUCUCGGUCGGACGAUUCCACCGACCUAUUGUUUGUUUUUCAGUAGAAAUUAGGUCUUUAAUUAAUGAAUGUGUGUGUGUGCCUACAUGUGUAGGUAAUGAUACUUGUUCAGUGUGUGCGUGCGUGCGUGCGUGCGUGUGCUUACGUGUGUAGGUAACAGUGUUAUUCUGUGUGUUUAGGCGUAAGCCAAAGAAAGUCGGGAUACCGACAUUGUCUGAUUGUCGCCCGCAGGUUUGUGGUUUUAUUUUAUUUUCUAAGGUGUUAAUUAUAGCAAAUGUUGCAUGUUUUGUUCCGUCACGGAAUGGCGCUUGGAAUGUACAUUUCAAUAUUUUACAGAUUGUUUGUAUCUGGCUUUUUCACUGUAAAUGGUUAAAAAUGUAUAUGUAGACAGAAAAGUUUUACAUGGCUGAGGGCGUAAGCCAAAGAAAGACGGGAUACCGACAUUGUCUGAUUGUCGCCCGCAGAUGCGGAGAGAUGACAUAGGGGACGUAGACAUUGUUGAUACCACAGAGGAAGGCAGUUCCGAUAAUCAUCAGGAUAAACAUGAAUCUAAAGACAACACAGCGUUCCCAGGGACUCGUGAGCAGGGAGGAUGUAGGCCAGCCUGGUGAAGCUCAUCAUGCUGGUGACCGCAAAGAGAACCUCUGCAAUCAGCUGGGGGUCCUCCUGACGCCAGUCGUUACGCACUGCCACACCAGAAGCAAAGACCUUAUUGGGGAAAGCCGCUUGAUGAUAUGCAGCCGUGCCUCCUCGGUUUCCUACCAGUCUGGGUGAAGUAGACACACUCCUCUGUGCAAUCAUCAUCCAGACAGAGGAAGUGUCCUUUAAGCAUGAUGACCAAACGCAAAGCGAAGGAGGCCAAGUACAUGCUGAGCACCAUCACGUCCAAGCAGUUCCACCAGUCCAGGAAGUAACUCCUCAGGCCCUCGAUCCACACUUCCUUGCACUCGAACCAAAAGAACCCUAGUGAGAUAGCACCCGACAUGAGUUGAUUAGAUCAACGGAGAGCAACGGCCCACCAGAGAGCAUGCACCCACCGACCACCCACACCAUGUGGAAGGAGCUGUGGAGGAUGUUCUGCUGCCUCGAAGCAAAUUUAUCCCGAUACAUCUCCAUGGUGAUGGAUUCACCGAGCAGCGUGAUGAGGAACCACAGAUAGGAGGCAGAGUGAAGGAGAAACUUGAUCACAGGGAUCCUGAGGAUCUUUCCUACCUAACACAAACAUGUAAUGCAACUUGUAUCAAUAUAUCUGUAAGGUCCUGAAAGGCACCUACAAAUAAAAUGUAUUAUUUCUAAACAAGUACCGUAGCUUACAAGCUUAAUUGGUUCUGUGAUAGAGCUCUUCACUCAAAACACUUCAGAAAUUAUUUCACCAUUCCUGAAGGUGUUAAAGAGUCAUUCGGCUUCAGUGUGGUGCACGCUAGCAGUGAUAUGCACAAAUUAUUUUGCCAAGUUGGCUACGCGCUCUGUCAUGUUUUUUUUUAAUGAUUUCUUUCUUUAAUUCAAUGAAUAUCACCCGCUUCUUCUUCUCAGCACUGUCCUUCACAUUCAAUUUCUUCCUUCCCACAAAGUUAUGUCCAUCUCUAGCUAUAAGUACAAAACCCAAAACUUGUGAAGAUGGCACGUUGUGUAAAUGGUAAAUAAAAACAGAAUACAAUGAUUUGCAAAUCCUUUUCAACCUAUAUUCAAUUGAAUAGACUGCAAAGACAAGAUACUUAAUGUUCAAACUGGAAAACUUUAUUUUUUGCAAAAAUUAGCUCAUUUGGAAUUUGAUGCCUGCAAAAUGUUUUAAAAAAGCUGGCACAAGUGGCAAA
Entelurus aequoreus (snake pipefish) is the source of this 1879-nucleotide long non-coding RNA. RefSeq lists it as uncharacterized. The transcript is spliced from 3 exons. The record is from RefSeq and is a predicted model, not a curated record. Lineage: Eukaryota; Metazoa; Chordata; Actinopteri; Syngnathiformes; Syngnathidae.